GGGGGGGGACAGCAGGUUUCAUCGAUUCCAUUGGACACCAAACUUUUUCCUUUUACCAUUUUAUACGAAUUAAAUUUUGGUGUUUCAUAAAAAAAAAUAAUUAUUUAUGAUAUUGCAGCACGCACACUCAAGGACUUCGCAGUGCAUCUUGCUGUGUGUACAUAGUAUUUAAGCCAUCAGACAAUAGUGUUUUGGAUCAUACUAUUAUUUUCAGUAACACCAAGAAUAAAAUAUUUUUUGUAAUACCUAUCUGUUAAUCAGUCUUAUUUUCCAGAAAAUGCUCAAAUUUUGCUAGAAACAAUUGUUAAACAAGUCACAUUCCCAUAGAAUAUCUUCCAUUGUUUCCUCUUCAGAAUAACCAUGAUUGCAGUACUUUGACUCAAUUGUUUGUUUGAUUUUGAAUAAAAAAGAGUUUGUAGCUAAGAUUCAGUUGAUAAUUCUGUAUUGAAACAAUUGGAUUUUGCUAUCUUUUGCCACUCAUUUUAUGAAUUAUUUACCAUUAUUUAGUGGUAUCUUUCAUUCCAUUUUGUUUUGCCUAAUUUGAUUUAUAAUUUCAUAAAACAAUAUUUUGAUUUGUUGCAUUUCAACACUGUAUAUAUGUUUGACAUAAUCAAUAUAUUUGUGAGCUUUUUCAUAGUUUAGUCGCAUCCACAAUUUUCACCCAAGCCUUAACAGCAUGAGUAAUGCUAUCAUAUUCUUAAAAAAUAAUCUUCGUAUUUCGAUAAGUAUUGCAAAACGAUUCAAGACAGGAAAUGAACCAUCUUCAUUGAUAAUAUCAUUAAAUUGUCUGAUGCCGCUGUCAAACAUUUGUUUAUUAUAAAAUUGUUUUCCACCAUCAUGGAUAUUUGGGUUAUAAAAUAGAGAUGCAUCAGCAGCAACAUCAGACGUUUUACUACGGUUGUGUAAUGUAAGCUAUGAUUUAAAUACAUCUAUCCAAAAUUUAUUUUUCAACGUUUUCAUUUUGUAAUGUACGGUGUAUUCAAUUCCACAGUUUAUCAAUUUUCUGAAGUCAAACUUUGGAAUAAAAUGUUCCAUCCAUCCAAUUGAAAACAUGAGAUAACUUAUCCAGAAUAAUUUUAUAUAGAUGCUAUAAAUGCUAUUAGGUUUACCAUUUUUAAUCCCUAUCUUCUUAUUUUUUUAAGAAUGACCUCCUUUUUACCCUAUGCGUUUAAUUAUUCCAUAUAAACAAGAAUAUCUUUUCUAAUGUAAAGAAAAGAAGGUUUUUCGAUUGACAUUAAAACAUGGUUUAGUAAUGGUAAAAGCCAAUGUCUUAAUAACUGUAAUUUUCCCUAUAGAGUUAAAAACCUUUUCUCCCAUUGUUUGAUUAUUGAUUUAAUCUGUAUUAAGUUUGGUUCAUAGUUUAUUUGUGGUAUCUUAUCUAAUUCCAUGUCAAAAUGUAUUCCCAACAAAGUAAAUCUGGUGUACCCACCUAAACCUGUAAUUUGGCAGCAAAGUUUCAUUGCUAUAUUUUUGGGGAAUUUAACUAUAUUACAUGAAUGAUUUUGAUAAUUGAUAUAUACAUGUAGUCCAAAUAUUUCUAAAGUUCUAAAAGUUUCUGUGAGAGAUUAUUCACUGUCAUCAAGGAGAAGUGAGGUAUCAUCAGCCAAUUCCAAUUGCAGUGAAGUACUUGUUUUCGAUGUAGAUGCAGGAUUACCUCCUCAGUCUCGAAAUGUUGUUUAAAAUUUCAAAACAAAACUGAUAGAUUUAAUCUCUCUCUCUCUCUCUCUCUCUCUCUCUCUCUCUCUCUCUCUCUCUCUCUCUCAGUUCUCGAUAUUUCUUUUUAGAAAUGGUUUCAAUACUGAGUUUCUUGUGAGUGUCCGCAAUCAAUCACUUGACUAACAAUUAUUAUGAAACACGUCAAACAACAUUUCACCUAAUGACAGGUUGUACAGUAAAUUAAAUCGGUAUAAUAAUCCUGAAACCCAUGUGACGUAAACACCAUAUGUAUAGUAGGAGAUGAUUGGAUAUUAAAUGGAAUAAUCAAUUUAUAGAAAUAUUUUUUGAAAUGCAAUAUUGAAACUUGAUAAGGAACUAUGACGUCGAAUAUAUAGGAAUAGCACGUGACGUCACGUGUGUACGGGUGGAAAUCUAGUCAUAUCAUUGCCAUGAAUAGCUGACAUUCGCUUUGUUUCGUUUACGUACAUGUAACUUAGGUAACCUACCAAGUAACAUGUUUACUAAUCACGAGUAAAUUCGAUGUGUUUAGUCUCAUUGAAACUUCGGGGACGGGGGAGGUCUCGUGCGAGAUCGCAAUGAAAUUGUGUGGACUCAAAUGUUUGUUUUUUUCUGAACUCGGAAGUUAAUUUUAAGGCAAGUGGUCACGGAAGAUAUUAAAAAUCACCAUUUAUAUGUGCAUGUAAACACACCUGACAUAGCCAAAUAGGGAAUCAGUUUUCCCUGCAUGUGACAAAAAGCUCGUGAUACGUUAAGGAUAAAAUAAUAAUAAAAAAAAAAAAAAAAAAAACGUGGGUUGGAAUAUCCCUUUCAUUCUCAGGAAACAAAAGCAGUUCCGGUGUGGUAUGACAACGGGGAAUAGCGUCUUUCUCGGAUCUAAAGUUUGUUAUUUUGUCGGUGUUCAGAAGAGUACAUCGCCUUCAAAGGAAAUAUCCAGAAUUCAAACGGAAAAUGGGAUGAAGCAAGGGCUUUAAGACCGCUCUCCUCCGCUGUAGAAAACUUACACGGUUACCUCCCGUAGACCAAAUCGAUGUUAGAACGUUUACGAGAGUUUAAAGACGGGGAAUUGAAAAUGGGACGGAAAACAGAAUCGGAAUGACUUGGGGCCGGAUCAACAGGGGCCGGGUCGACUAGGGCCGGAUUGACCUUAGGGCCGGAUUGAUCGACAUUCGUCUAACAAUGCUUUUUGUAGUAUAUCAUAUUUACAAAAUUUUAAAAUAGAAAAUACUGUGGGCACGAUUUGAGCUGAACAUUUUCAAAUUUGAUUUUUAAUUUUUAAUGUUUAGAAUGCUUAACUAAAGUAUUACUAAUGAUCAGCAAAAAUUUGAAUGUCAGUAGUCAAGGUACAUGGGAGAUACAGAGGUCACAAGUCCUUGUUAUGUAAACAUUCCAAAUACGAAAACGUGAUAUGAACCUAGCUUAUCAUGAAUACAAUGCAGUGAGAGUGAAAUUGAACUUAGAAUGCCAUCCUUUUAUUUAUUUGCAAUUCACUUACAGAUAAUCAUAUGAUGAUGUUGUACCUGGAAUGUGACCUCUGGUCACCUAUUGAUUUCAGACAUGAACAUUAUGUUGCUAUAUAUUAUAUCAUAUGAUGCUACAACAGUGUCAAGGUGAAUUUUUAGAUUACCUAAGCCAAAGAAUGGAAUGAAUUGUUUUGAUCAUUUGUCUGUCUGUUUGUAAUUUGUUUUAUCUACUGGGCAUAUUUUCACCAAACUUUAAGUAAGGGUUGUCCAGAGUAACGCCCAGCUGGUCUAUGGGUAUUUUGUCUAAAUUACAUUGUAUGUUGGGUUUGACUUUGUAAUUAUUCAUUACAAUUGUUGUAAAU
Long non-coding RNA from Ostrea edulis (European flat oyster), 3499 nucleotides. RefSeq lists it as uncharacterized. The record is from RefSeq and is a predicted model, not a curated record. Lineage: Eukaryota; Metazoa; Mollusca; Bivalvia; Ostreida; Ostreidae. The transcript is spliced from 3 exons.